Non-coding RNA from Pseudomonas fluorescens, 373 nucleotides. Lineage: Bacteria; Pseudomonadati; Pseudomonadota; Gammaproteobacteria; Pseudomonadales; Pseudomonadaceae. The record is from Rfam.
CCGCCCAAUGCGCCGCCCACACCUGCUUCAGUGGUGCCUCCGGCAGAGGCGACGCCGCUGACCAGGCCAAGGGACAACAAGAGAAUCGAGGAGAACUUCAUAGAGGAGCCUCAAAGGGAUGACGGCGCGAUCCUGAGGCUGUAUCGAGGGGCUUACAAACGAAAUCCGACGAAUAGCACGAAUUGUACACAAUAUCGUAACUUAUUGUUUUUAAUGCGGAACUUAAGCGAUUUUUGCGGGUCUUUAGCUACUUCGGAACGGCCGCUUUGAUACAAAAGCGGCCUUUUUUGUGCCUGCGGUUCAAGGCUGCGCAGCGGCUGUCGCCGGCAGGCCGGCUCCUACGAUUCACGCGCUAGCCGUAGAAGCUGGCUUG